RNAcentral lists this unclassified non-coding RNA (353 nucleotides) under soil metagenome. RNAcentral's name for it is "partial contains 5.8S ribosomal RNA, internal transcribed spacer 2, and large subunit ribosomal RNA". The stretch from base 1 to 120 matches the Rfam family "5.8S ribosomal RNA", at positions 35 to 154 of the family's 154-position model. The record is from RNAcentral.
GAUGAAGAACGUAGCGAAAUGCGAUAAGUAAUGUGAAUUGCAGAAUUCAGUGAAUCAUCGAAUCUUUGAACGCACAUUGCGCCCGCCAGUAUUCUGGCGGGCAUGCCUGUUCGAGCGUCAUUACAACCCUCAGGCCCCCGGGCCUGGCGUUGGGGAUCGGCGGAAGCCCCCUGCGGGCACAACGCCGUCCCCCAAAUACAGUGGCGGUCCCUCCGCAGCUUCCAUUGCGUAGUAGCUAACACCUCGCAACUGGAGAGCGGCGCGGCCACGCCGUAAAACACCCAACUUCUGAAUGUUGACCUCGAAUCAGGUAGGAAUACCCGCUGAACUUAAGCAUAUCAAUAAGCGGAGGA